CCUCCGCUACAGCAACAGCUCACCCUCCCCAUCUUCCCCAACGCCGCUAGCCUCCACGCGGCUCGCUGCGGCGCGGCGCCGGUAGCACCGUCGCCUCCAACAGGCGCUACUGGCUGCCGUCCGGCUCUCCACGCCUUGCAGCGCGCUGAGUGAGAUGGCGCGGCCGGGCCCUCGCGCAAGGUGGCGGUGAUGUAGUGCGGGGCCAUCACGCGCAGCGUCGUUCAUCGCUACCAGUAGCGCUUGCCGCUCGUGGGGCCGAGGUGGCAGAUGCGACAUCGACCGUCAAGGAGCCGCGCGGGGGGAGACGGCGCACCGCGUCGCCGGGAAGGCAUCGACGUCCUUGUUCUCGCCCCCUGGCGCCGCCAUUCGGCCUCGGCCCAUAUAAGUUGGUGGGCUAGGUUUGCAGAUAAGAGAGAUGGAGAUGGAUGGAUGAUUCGAGUCUGGGAUGGAAGGAAGGAUUCCUUCCCUUACCUUACCAUGCACAGAGGUGAGAGGUUACAUUUGUUGAUGAUUCCCUGCUACUAGGUAUGCGACCCUUCUGUCACUGUCUACAAAGGCUAUUCUCUGCGUAAAGAAACUAAGGAUUAUCUUGCUAGGCAUGGGUUAAGAAAUGCUGUCUAUUCCAUUGAUGCUGCAGAUGCAAUAGAUGGGUUGUUUGAUGAUCUGGUUCUCCGCCCUUUUCAGGUGAUCUAUAAGUAGUUGUAUGAUAUAAGCAGCUUUGAUUGGCAAUUUGGCAAGACAAAGCUAGAAUCUUGCAUAGUUUAGCAGACAUUGACUUCUAAGCAGAGCUUAAAAGUAUGCCUCUUCCAACUUCUCUCUACUUUAUUUCCAUCAUGGUCAUUUUUUUUGCAUAGUACCUAAACAUAAAUUUUCUACUGCAGGUUUCAAGAAUCUACUGACAGCAACAAUACCAAACUUGGUUACUCCACCACAAUGAGGAUUUCGAAGUUCUAACCAACACAUCAUUCAUAGAUAAAGAUAAUGAGAUACACUAUUACUUCUUAGCUUGAUCUCCCAUGGCCUCUGUUUUCGUAAUCAUAAAUGUGCAGCCUGAGAAUAAGUAUACAAAAGAAUUUGCUAUAAAUGAAUGGUACUCUAUACUUGAAGUCUUUUGUAUAUUUGCUAAUGAAUGUUUGAUGAUUGAAAAGGUGAUCUAUUAUAUAAUAUCCAUAUCUGAAACUA
Long non-coding RNA from Panicum virgatum (switchgrass), 1182 nucleotides. RefSeq lists it as uncharacterized. The record is from RefSeq and is a predicted model, not a curated record. The transcript has 2 exons. NCBI's taxonomy places the organism in Eukaryota, Viridiplantae, Streptophyta, Magnoliopsida, Poales, Poaceae.